UUGCUGGGCUCGGGUGAGCAUAGCUUAGUACGAAAUGGGCUCUUGUGCGCUAGGGCUUGGGCACACUAUUGCUGCUAGUUAAAGGGUGGAAAAGUAGAGAGAAUCAUGGUGAAGAAUUCGUUUUUUUAUCCUAUAGUAGAUAGCACAAGUCCUUAGAAUAAGGUCUCGAUGCAAAAGCAGUGGUGGGAAAGGAAGUCCCAUCUGAACUACCUUCUUCCUAGGAUUAUUCUCAAUCAAGAAAGUUUAAGUUAUGUUCUCUAAGUUAAGGAGCUAUACGUUUUUUCCUUCAUCUCUUUCAUGAUAUAAGGUAAGAUAGUAGUUCAUACUUUUCACACUCAAGUGUGUUUACCCUAUCUCCGUGGACCUCCUUUUUAGGACAGCACCCUUUACAGACAUGGUUCUAGGUGCUAGCUACCUUACCCAUGUUCGACCCAGCGCUUUUAAGCGAGCAAGCCACUUCUCAACAAGUUACCGUUUUUUCAUAACUAAGGUCUUCAUCCGCCUAAUUGUAAUUUGAUGGACUUCUUCACUUCUACUUCAUAACCUUGAUUGAAGGCCAACUACAGAUAAGUAACAACUUCUUGAUACCAUUCGCGCGAUCUCCCAAAUAGCACCUGUUUACCAUAGGCAUGGGGAGAAAGAGGAAAUAAGAUGGAUUUACAACCCUAGGUAACAGUUAAAAAAGAGCGUGUCGCAAGUGAGUUCUGAUCGAAGGUGAGCACCAAGUUCCCAUCAGGAGCAAAGGCAGUUCUUUCCAGAUCCAGGAAACACAAACACUACACUUGGAUUGGGCUCUGUAGCUUGGCAUGUGUAGCUGCAAGCUGGAACAUCUAGGCUUGCACGUGGGGAGGCCCACGUAGUUUUCUAACCGGUGUAGCGCACUGGGUUCGUGCAUGGGAAGUCCUGAUGUGCUAGAGAUGCCCCUUGUUUGGGCCUUUGAAGCUCGUCUGUUGCGCGCUUGAGGUCAAUGCCUUGGGCCUCCAAGUAGGUUCCUAGAUCCUACACUCUUUGUCUCCGCAUAGGGCUAGCGUCAUGGCCUACUUUUGGCUGAUGCUUGUUUAGGCUUUCAAGCCAUCUCCAAAUCAUCAAACUUUGUUGGACUGCAAUGUGGGCUACAGAUGUCGUAGCAACCACGAUUGCCAUCUGAAAACCUUGGUACGUAAGAAGCAUUGUUCGUUGUGGUUUUGGAAUUAUUCGUUGUCGUAUUUCUUCCCCAGGGCUAUUUCAAAGAAUUUAUAAAUUCUAAGAAUAGGAACGUGUGGAAAAUUUAUGUAUAAACGAAAAAUUUGAAACGUUGAAAGUGAGAGUCUUCUUCGAGCAUUUGAAUCAAACUCUCAAUGAAGGCACCAAUUUGUGGAUGCAAAUUUAUGUCGUCCUUUGGUUGGACAAAACAAUCAACACCUUUGAUCAAAGGCCAAAAGCCUAGCGCGCCCAUGAUGAGUGGAGGGUGGGGGAUUUGGUAAAUGGAUCUUUGAUGCCUAAAUUAGUCUUUCUAAAAAGAGUGAGUGUUUGGGUUUUCUGUGUAUAGAAAAGCUUCACCUAUUUUUGGUGGAGAAUUGAGGUAUUUAUAGGGAGUAUGGCUAGCCUUUAGGGUAGGAUUUAGUGAGGAUAUUCCCAAGAUAUUGUGUAAAUAAUGUCUUGGAAUAAUUGUGAAGAUAUCCCAGAAUAAAUGUGGUUAGGAUUACUUGAUAGAGUUUGUCUUCAAUUGAGAAUGUAUUAAUGAUAGGACUUAGGGAUAAUCCUAUCAUUAAAUAUCUUUGACUUUUUCCAUGUGCAGAAUAGCUCUAAGCAGUCGUAGUCCACUGCCUGCAUGUCUAGGGAUGUUGAGUUGGGCGUGCGGAAUUUAAAUAUGCCAUGCUCAUUUAAUAAAGGCAAUCUUGUCUUUCUUGGCUGAAAGUUCACGUGUCACCUCCAGAAUUUUUGGCUCCACAGUCGACAGCUAGGGAAACUUGCUAUGAUGCCAAGAUAAAACUACAGCGUAGGGUUUUAUUGUCAUUAAUUGUUAUUCCUUUCCCGAUAGAGGAAAUAUAGGGAAAUUUUAUUUAAACCCACGUAACCUUUCUUUACACCCAACUUACUCUCUACACCCAGAUUAUUUUCAAUUAAACUCUCAAUAUCUCUUUAAACCUAAAUUUACUACCUAAAUUGCCCUCACAAACCCAAUCAAUAUGUAAAAUUAUCUUUACACCCAUUCAAAAAAUAAAAAAUCAAUUCAAAGCAUAUGUUCUCUCCUCUAAAGUUCUUACCUUCCGACAUAUUCGUCGUAUUUUCUAUCAAUCUUCCAUCGCUUUGCAAGAACACACCUCUCUUAGCAUCAAACACAAAUUUAGCAGAAUUUAAAACCGUCAAACUGUCCAUGUGGACAAUGUUGGAAAUGUGCCCUAAAACCAAUCAUGUGAUGAUACUUUACGGACAUUUCACAUGUUAAACUAAUCUAGUUUAAUAUCAAGGGCAAAGAUUAUUGUUUG
RNAcentral lists this long non-coding RNA (2468 nucleotides) under Malus domestica (apple). Its description in RNAcentral is "long non-coding RNA (MDOM_LNC013363)". The record is from RNAcentral. Lineage: Eukaryota; Viridiplantae; Streptophyta; Magnoliopsida; Rosales; Rosaceae.